Molecule: long non-coding RNA, 952 nt
Filed under: Danio rerio (zebrafish)
Lineage: Eukaryota; Metazoa; Chordata; Actinopteri; Cypriniformes; Danionidae
Description: si:ch211-271c18.3 (ENSDARG00000104955.3)
Source: RNAcentral
UGAGAGGUGACGACUACCGCGUGACACGGUUGGAUCCUUUAGAAAAACAGACAUCACAGCGACCUCUAGCGAUUUAAUUACUGUUUACGCGUACUGACUAGCAAAUAAAUAAUAUACUUGCAGUCAAUCAAGGUCGGAGCACUGCCUGGUUGUAUUCUCUGGCUGUACAAACCCACAAACAUUCAAAGAGUUUUCACAGGUCCAAUUGCUGAAAGAAAGGAAAGGUCUUCCCUCUAGUGGUGUACACGUGGAAAUACACACCGAAAAGGCCUACAUUUUGCAAGGUCUGAAUGCAGUGGUCUUAGCCUCCUGGAUUGUUGGGCAUGUGUCACUGAGCUCACUGGAUUCUGUCUCUGUCUUUCCUGCACUGGGGAAGCCUGUCAUAUGCAUAAGAUCACACAACAGUGGCAAAAGAUCCCUGUGCAUCAUCGUUUGGGAGCGAUCUAAAAUGUCAAAGGUGUCCUUUUGAUGUCGGGUAUGGGCCUCAUGCAAGGCAGCACCUGUGUGGGACGCCGUAUGCAUUUGUGUGUGUGUGUGUGUGUGUGUGUGUGUGUGUGUGUGUGUGUGUGUCAUAUUCACAUUCAAACUGUCAGGCUGUUCCUUUGGGAGCAAGGGAUACUGAGGAGAGACGAAUGUAAACUGAGGUUGUGCUCUCACAUGCUUCCUCUCUCUCUCUCUUUGUCUCAUUUAUUAAGUGGAGUGAUUGUAAUGGUUUGAGUAUUGAAUGUUUGCAAUGUUGAUCUCUUUGAUCCUGAUACGGUACAAUCUGGCUUACACUGAAGCCCAUCCCACUGUGUGCUGCAAUGCCUGUUUUACUAUCCGUCCAACCAUCACUGUCCUCUCCGCUAUAGAUGAAUGAAUGGAUGCUUGUUUAUGUGAACCUGUGUUUGUGGGCUGAAUGUGUGUGUUUCAGCAGCUGUAACGUGUGUUGCAGAUUCGAAUCUGAACUCAU